Molecule: ribosomal RNA, 497 nt
Filed under: uncultured bacterium
Lineage: Bacteria
Description: partial 16S ribosomal RNA
Rfam family: Bacterial small subunit ribosomal RNA
Source: RNAcentral
GAUGAACGCUGGCGGCGUGCCUAAUACAUGCAAGUCGAGCGAACGGACGAGAAGCUUGCUUCUCUGAUGUUAGCGGCGGACGGGUGAGUAACACGUGGAUAACCUACCUAUAAGACUGGGAUAACUUCGGGAAACCGGAGCUAAUACCGGAUAAUAUUUUGAACCGCAUGGUUCAAAAGUGAAAGACGGUCUUGCUGUCACUUAUAGAUGGAUCCGCGCUGCAUUAGCUAGUUGGUAAGGUAACGGCUUACCAAGGCAACGAUGCAUAGCCGACCUGAGAGGGUGAUCGGACACACUGGAACUGAGACACGGUCCAGACUCCUACGGGAGGCAGCAGUAGGGAAUCUUCCGCGAUGGGCGAAAGCCUGACAGAGCAACGCCGCGUGAGUGAUGAAGGUCUUCGGAUCGUAAAGCUCUGUAAGUAGGGAGGAAGAUAUGUGUAAGUAACUGUGCACAUCUUGACGGUACCUAAUCAGAAAGCCACGGCUAACUACGUG